CAUGACACAUGUUAGUCAUGGCGUCGCGGGCCGCAUACAAUUAAUCGCGUAUAUUUUACCAUUUUUUCUUUAUCAUUUCAUGACGUCUAAAACGCUUUGCAGUAUCCGCCACAAGCAGUUUCAAAAUUAAGAUGCGUAAUGCGACUGCGUCACUCUACAACUGCAGAGCCAGAGGCUAUAAAUACGGCUGUGUAACAGUGUAAUAAAUAUUAAUCAUAAGCAUUCCCGCUUGGUGGCGCAGUCCAACUCAACAGCAACAUGAGUUUCUUUCCAUUCCUUCGGGUGCGUUGGGAUUAUAAAAUAAUCG
This is a long non-coding RNA of Nymphalis io (European peacock), 307 nucleotides long. RefSeq lists it as uncharacterized. Lineage: Eukaryota; Metazoa; Arthropoda; Insecta; Lepidoptera; Nymphalidae. The record is from RefSeq and is a predicted model, not a curated record. The transcript has 3 exons.